This 640-nucleotide ribosomal RNA is filed under the name Psilocybe sp. MEL 2346803. RNAcentral describes it as "eukaryotic LSU rRNA". The stretch from base 248 to 401 matches the Rfam family "5.8S ribosomal RNA". Lineage: Eukaryota; Fungi; Basidiomycota; Agaricomycetes; Agaricales; Agrocybaceae. The record is from RNAcentral.
AAGUAAAAGUCGUAACAAGGUUUCCGUAGGUGAACCUGCGGAAGGAUCAUUAUUGAAUAAACCUGAUGUGGUUGUAGCUGGUUCUCUAGGGAGCAUGUGCACGCCCGUCAUCUUUAUAUUUCCACCUGUGCACCUUUUGUAGACCCAGAAGAUUUCAGAUUGAAGUCAUUUGGGCCUAUGUUUAUCAUAUACCCCAUAGUAUGUAAUUGAAUGUAAUAGUGGGCUUUUAUGCCUAUAAAAACUAUACAACUUUCAGCAACGGAUCUCUUGGCUCUCGCAUCGAUGAAGAACGCAGCGAAAUGCGAUAAGUAAUGUGAAUUGCAGAAUUCAGUGAAUCAUCGAAUCUUUGAACGCACCUUGCGCUCCUUGGUAUUCCGAGGAGCAUGCCUGUUUGAGUGUCAUUAAAUUCUCAACCUCUACUAGUUUUAGUAGAUGGCUUGGAUUUGGGAUUGCAGGCUUUCACAAGUCAGCUCUCCUUAAAUGUAUUAGCCGGUGCUCUCUAACCGUCUAUUGGUGUGAUAAUUAUCUACGCCGUGGACUAUUAGAAAUUAGUGCGCUGCUUAUAAUCGUCCUUUGGACAAUAUUUAUGACAUUUUUGACCUCAAAUCAGGUAGGACUACCCGCUGAACUUAAGCAUAUC